UACGAAGGGGACUAGCGUUGUUCGGAAUCACUGGGCGUAAAGCGCACGUAGGCGGAUAUGUCAGUCAGGGGUGAAAUCCCGGGGCUUAACCUCGGAACUGCCUUUGAUACAGCAUAUCUUGAGUCCGAUAGAGGUGGGUGGAAUUCCUAGUGUAGAGGUGAAAUUCGUAGAUAUUAGGAAGAACACCGGUGGCGAAGGCGGCCCACUGGAUCGGGUACCUGACGCUGAGGUGCGAAAGCGUGGGUAGCGAACAGGA
Molecule: ribosomal RNA, 256 nt
Filed under: uncultured bacterium
Lineage: Bacteria
Description: partial 16S ribosomal RNA
Rfam family: Bacterial small subunit ribosomal RNA
Source: RNAcentral